CAGGGCUGUUCACAGUUCAGUUAAUGGGACAACAGCCAUCCCAUGGAGGAGCAGCAGGAGGAAACUGUCACUGCUGGAUCAGCUGAAAGGCUGCCAGGAGGCCUGGUGCCCUGGGGGAGCCUGGGACAGAGAGGGGGCUCACGCUGCUAUCUGUGGGACACCUGCUGGGAGUUUCCUGGUUGUGCGGGACUCUGUGACGUCUCAGCCAAGCCUGCUGUGUGUGUCUGCCGGAGCGCAGAAUGAGGAAGUCUUUGAUUAUAAUAUCAAAUGCACAGGAGCAGUUUUCCAACUGUCUGAGUCUCAUCUGUCUUUCUCUGACUUGACUCAGCUGGUGCUCUUCUACUCUCUGACCAGGGAUGUGCUGGAUGUUUGUCUCCACAUUCCUCGCUGGAUCUACAGCGUAACAGACACAAAAAAAGAGCGUCUUUCACAGCUUGAACCUAAAACUUGGCUUUCCACCACCGCCUGAUCAACAGACUGAUCAAAUGUCCCAAAGGGAACCAAGCAGCAUGAUGUGCUCCAUACAGCUGACGUCCACAAACGGGGCCCUGUGUAUCAUCAAUCCCCUCUACCUCCGUGAACACGGAGACGAGUGGCUGACCCACAGGCCAGCUGCCGCACAGCCGUCAAAUUUCAGACGCCUCAGCACCACCCGGCAAUGGGCAGGCGCAGGGUUACAAAGUAAACGAGCCAUCUCUUUGGAGCAAGAAACCCCUGCUCCCAAUACAGAGAGCUCAGGUUUAAUCAGAGCCUGUUCCGCUGAUUCUGCACCAACUGAGCAAACACCAGCAGGGGUGGUCCUCCGGCGGCCCAGUCGGGAUUUAGUAAUCGCCCAGCCUCAGAGGGUGAGCACGGGGAGCCUACCUUCAUCCACUUCCUCCACCCCCAGAAAUGGAACACCUGAGUUGCAGCGCCACAGCAGCCCCGUGCCUCAGUCUCCUCACAGGGUGUCCUGGAUUGAGGAUGGCGUCUGGCUGCCUCCACCCAGGCCUUCUUCCUUGCUCCAGCCUCCAUCACUCGAGCUUGACUCGCUUUCAAUCAGCAGCAUAGAGGAAGAGAUGGAGCCCCAGAUGCUAAGCUCGUCACAUCACCACGCUUCAGCACACCGUUUGGCUGAUAAGGUCCUACAUCGCCUUUCUGCCGUGGGCCAGGCGCUGGGUGGGCUGGUAAGCCAGAGAAAAAGACUGUCCAAUCGUGUGCAAGAGCUGAGUGAGAAGAAAGGUGCUGCAUUUGCAGAGGCUGUGAAGGGAUUUGUGGAGAUGACAUCGAAGAGAGGGACUGAUUCUAGCGGUGUCACAGGGUCGGAGUUCUUACAGGAAGUGAGAUUAUCACUCACAUCACUGAGGGAGACACUGCUGGAAUAUGCAGAAAUCCAGAUGUUACUGGAAAGCAUAACUGACUUAAACGACUCAGAGAUUGACACCCUGGUGGAGCUCUCCAUCCACAAAGUGGCUCUGAAGCCUGUCUCCAGCCACCUCUACUCCUGCAUAGAAACCUCCCGAACCAAUGAUGGCACCUUCGAGCGUCUCCAGAGCAACCUGCGCUUGCUGGAAAAGAACGAGGUGACUGAACUAGGAGGUU
This is a long non-coding RNA of Astatotilapia calliptera (eastern happy), 1581 nucleotides long. Lineage: Eukaryota; Metazoa; Chordata; Actinopteri; Cichliformes; Cichlidae. The record is from Ensembl.